Telopea speciosissima is the source of this 1730-nucleotide RNA transcript. It is a transcript of the gene named putative RING-type E3 ubiquitin transferase C3H69, with no coding region annotated. The transcript is spliced from 8 exons. Lineage: Eukaryota; Viridiplantae; Streptophyta; Magnoliopsida; Proteales; Proteaceae. The record is from RefSeq and is a predicted model, not a curated record.
UUCGGUGGUUUCUCUUUUGAAGCUAAUAAUAAUCCAUGAAUUGCUUUCCCUCAAUUCACCUACAGUUUCCAUUUCAUUUCAGUUUGAUUUCGUUAUACGUUUACCUGUGGGAAGAUUGGAAGCUUUGAUUUCAAGAUACUCUCCAUGUCGAAGAGGAUUCUUUGCAAGUUCUAUGCACAUGGAGCAUGUUUGAAAGGGGAACACUGUGAAUUUUCUCAUGACUGGAAGGACCAACCAAACAAUAUAUGCACCUUCUAUCAGAGAGGAGUGUGCUCUUAUGGUAGUCGAUGCAGGUAUGAUCAUGUUAAAGUUUCUCGUCCGCAAACUUCAGUUUCAUCAUCGUCAACAAAUUCUCGCCAGAACCUAGCUUCCAAUUUUGUUGAAGUGACUCAUCCUUCUAGAACUUCCUUGAGUGGGGAAACAACUAAAGUCCCUAGUGUUCCAACAGAGCUAUCAGCUUUGAGCAGACCUUUCUUUCCUCCCUAUAGACCUGCAUGGAUUCAAGACACUGGAGAUCAUAACUUCUUUUAUGAUGGGAAUGGUGGGGACUCCACAAUCACUCAACCUGUUGAUCGGCCUAUAUGUUCAUUUGCUGCUGCUGGUAUCUGUCCUCGUGGGGAAAAAUGCCCACAUAUUCAUGGGGACUUAUGUGCCACGUGUGGAAAACAUUGCUUGAAUCCAUAUAGACCUGAUGAAAGAGAUGAGCACAUAAUAACAUGUGAAAGAAAGAAAAGACACCUUGAGGCAUUGAAACAUAGUCAAGAAAUAGAGUGCAAUGUGUGUUUAGAUCGUGUGCUUUCAAAGCCUACUGCUGCUGAACGGAAGUUUGGGUUGCUAUCAGAGUGUGAUCAUCCCUUCUGCAUAUCCUGUAUAAGAAAUUGGCGUAGUAGUUCCCCGUCCUCUGGCAUGGAUGUUAAUACUGCACUGAGGGCCUGCCCAAUAUGCCGCAAGCUUUCAUACUUUGUUAUUCCAAGUGUAAUUUGGUAUUCAACAAAGGAAGAAAAGCAGGAGAUCAUUGACAGCUAUAAAGAAAAACUCAGGUCUAUUGACUGCAGGUACUUUGACUUCGGAAAUGGGACAUGCCCCUUUGGGACUAGUUGUUUCUACAAGCAUGCUUAUCGUGAUGGCCGCCUGGAAGAAGUUGUUCUGCGACAUCUUGGAGCUGAAGAUGGAGACACUGUAAUUGCUAAAGAUAUAAGGCUUUCUGAUUUCCUUAGUAAUUUGCGUCUAAGGUGAAGAGAACUACCGAAUAAAGCUUCCAAGUUUUUUAAUUUUUAUUGCAGACAUGUACAACUUGGAGUGCCUAAAAUAUCUAUUUUGCCCUUGUUGCACUCCACUAAUACAGAAGAAUUUGCUUGCUGGGGACCCAAAAGGUGGAUUCACAACAGGGCAUAGUCAACUGUAGUAAUAAACACCUUUCACUAUACACACAGGUGGUUAGGGAAGAAACAGAUAAACAAAAUGGAUGGUAAUAUUGAGGUUCAAGUUCUUGAGACUUUCCAUUUGGCUCAUUGUUUCAUGGAUCCCCAAUGAUAACAUCCUUCAAAGGGUUGUCAAUAAUGAGUGAUGAACGGUUGUGCAUUUACGCAGUUAUGUCCUGCCCAUCAUUAUUACAUCAAAACUGUAUAUAAAUGGGUAUAUAUGGAUUUUCUCUUAAAAUAGUGGUAAAUUUCCAUAAUUAUGCUUAUGAUGAGAUAAUCUGGGGAAAAAACUUUCGAAUUUUGUAUGUA